This is a non-coding RNA of Dermacentor andersoni, 2480 nucleotides long. The record is from RefSeq and is a predicted model, not a curated record. NCBI's taxonomy places the organism in Eukaryota, Metazoa, Arthropoda, Arachnida, Ixodida, Ixodidae.
UAUAUAUAUAUAUAUAUAUAUAUAUUUACCACCUCCUCACUCUACUGUCGUUGGUGUUGUGGGUGAGCACAGAGACAAGUGCGGCAGCUCCUGCACAGCAUUUGUGAGGGUUCAUGCCUAGAUAGGCGUCCAGAGGGCACUCUGCAGAUGCGAUGCGGCGUAAAUCUUGACACGAGCUUCUCUGGUCGUCUUUCCUUUGUACCAAACUCUUGUCAUGUACUAAUGCGAUAACGUUAAGGGCCCCGUGUCGCAGAAAAUCCAGUGUCGACACCGCGGGCAUCGCUUGGCGAAUAAUCAUUCUGAACCACAACCGCGCAGGCCCUCCACGUGGCGCAUACUUUGUCUUAUAUUGUCUACAAAGUUAUUCCUCGGGAUUUUGAGGAUAACAGCUCAUAAACAAAUGUCAUGAAACAAAACACUGACAGCACAUGCGUUUUAUGUUUUUGUGACAUGGCCACAUCUCAACCAAGUCCUGAUGUGGCGUGCAUUAGUGGCCUGCGUCUCAACUACGUCCUGACGCGACCUGCGUUAGUGGCGUGCCAGACCACAACAGCAGCAGCAGUGGGAAGGUCGAAGGAAGAGGCAAAGAAAGCUUCGCUUUAAAAAAACUCCACCAUUACCAGUCGCUGGAAGGGACGUACUUUGUAGACUGUACAGAAGCAGUUCCUGGGUCGUCUGCUUCCCUUGCUUGUGUACCAUUACCUUGUAUCCGUGAACAGGUACCGCAUGUCUGCUAGCCACAGAGUUAGUAUACUUUGCUAGCUGCUUCGUGCACUGUGCCAACGCUGUUAGCACCCCUGAUGUUCUUUUAAUGCUAAGUAAUUUCCGAGUCCAGCAAGCUUUCUCUAUCUGAUUGUCUACGUUCAACAGCGGAUGACGCAUCCUGCCUCCGCUCAAAGAAGAGUGCAUUGGAGUAGCCAAGCUAAAGGUGCAGUGUGUCUUAACGCGGACACGAUCCACGCGUGGCGCAGUUCAGCUACAUCGGUGAAAAUUGUACGCUGUAUAGUCUAGUGUGGCUGGCGUAGGAUUAGAACAUUUCCUAUCACAUGCCAGAGCCAUUUGAACAGGAUGCAUCGACACACUAGCUUGGCUGACCAGCAGCAUACUGGCCUAUAUACAGUUUGGGCUCACUGAAGUGAGGGUGUUGGAUUUGUGCCUUCGACAAACAAAGAAACACUCUCUGUGUGCUGGUGCUGCGGCAAGUGCUGCGGCAAGUGGUGCUGUGGCAAACUGAUUGCCAUGCUACUACUGGUCAUGUUUAAAGUGCAGGGUAAAAUUUUAGCGAUCUUAGCAUCUUCGGCAUGACGUGUCCAACUUCACUAGCCGCUGCCUGGCAUGCUGGAAACGCUGGACUCAUCGAUGAUGAUGCUGAUGAUGAAGUGGUAUGUACCUUUCCCAUAGUUUUAUGCAAUAAUUACUAGAGGGAACUGGCGCUGCAAUCCAUUGCUACCGAUUGCUACGGGAGCUGCAAUCUGACUGAUUCAGGCAGCAUUGGAAUUGUGGGAAGUGCAUGGAUUUGCCAAAACUUCAUCUAUUUGGCUUCAAAACGGCUCUGCGACUUUUUAAAUUGGUCCUUUCCAACAAAGUACUGUGUAAUAAAUAAUUAAAUGAACAUUAUUAGAAUUUUCCAAAAGCAGAAUUCGAACACAGGACCUCUAGCGCAGAAGCCCAAUACUGAAACCAUCACGAUACCGGCACAUGCAUCGUCAAGCAGCAUGGAACACCUUUAUGAAUUUCUUGCAAGCAAGCUAGUGUGUUGAAAUGCAUGGCGUGUUUCAGUUUGGCCACCUUGACAGGUUGAGCCGCUGAAAUUAGUAGCGAUCGUGCAUGUUCGCAGAGUAUUCUGCAGUUAGAAAAGUAAAGGUCACUUUGAAAUUUAGGACAAUGAAGACAGAUAAAGCGUAAUAAACAGAGCCACACUAACGUCUGAAUCCAUAAGUAAAAAAAAUUGGACAAAUCUAUGUACUGCAUGAUUCUCAUGGUGGCUGAGCGAUUGCAGCGCCAGAGUUCGCUCUAGCAAUUAUUGUAUGAAACUCUAUGGUGUUUCCCUUUGAAACAGGUGGAUAUUACGAUGAUGGCAGGGAAAAGGGGAAAAAACAUGAAGCAACAAAAAAAAAUCAAGGCCAUGCCACCCUGCGAAGGUAGCUGACCAGCGGAGCUGUAUACGCCAUGGCAAGAAAAAUUGUGAGCGGAACCGGAACACAACUUUUUUCAGUGGAAUGAAACCAGAACAAACAACAUUUUGUUCUGGCACCCUGGCGCCACAUGCUUUCCUCUUCACACAUGCUGUCAAAAUUGUUGAUGUGGGAAGUAGCAAUCAACACAGAAACUGAUUCCUGGAUGAAAUUAAAAUAGUAAAUGCUGCGACCUUGGAACUUUUACUGCCACUGUAGCAUUAUAGAAAGAGAGAGAAACAACUUUAUUAUGAAGCAUUCUAGAAUCUUAGUCUGCAGAUUUGAAAUAAAAGCAAUUAAUUUGCA